This 66-nucleotide transfer RNA is filed under the name Bos taurus (domestic cattle). It matches the Rfam family "tRNA". Rfam says of the family: Transfer RNA (tRNA) molecules are approximately 80 nucleotides in length. Their secondary structure includes four short double-helical elements and three loops (D, anti-codon, and T loops). Lineage: Eukaryota; Metazoa; Chordata; Mammalia; Artiodactyla; Bovidae. The record is from Rfam by way of RNAcentral.
GCCCUGGUGGCUCAGUGGUAAAGUAUCUGCCUGCAAUGCAGAAAACUAAGGUUCGAUCCCUGGGUU